CAGUCGCCACGGUAAUACGUAGGGUGCAAGCGUUAAUCGGAAUUACUGGGCGUAAAGCGUGCGCAGGCGGUUCGCUAAGACAGAUGUGAAAUCCCCGGGCUUAACCUGGGAACUGCGCUUGUGACUGCACAGCUAGAGUAUGGCAGAGGGGGGCGGAAUUCCACGUGUAGCAGUGAAAUGCGUAGAGAUGUGGAGGAACACCGAUGGCGAAGGCAGCCCCCUGGGCCAAUACUGACGCUGAGGCGCGAAAGCCGGGGGAGCGAACGGGAUUAGAUACCCCUGUAGUCCCUGUCUCUUAUAC
RNAcentral lists this ribosomal RNA (301 nucleotides) under uncultured bacterium. Its description in RNAcentral is "partial 16S ribosomal RNA". It matches the Rfam family "Bacterial small subunit ribosomal RNA", at positions 509 to 807 of the family's 1533-position model. The record is from RNAcentral.